Molecule: long non-coding RNA, 630 nt
Filed under: Ananas comosus (pineapple)
Lineage: Eukaryota; Viridiplantae; Streptophyta; Magnoliopsida; Poales; Bromeliaceae
Description: long non-coding RNA (ACOM_LNC041365)
Source: RNAcentral
CUCUGGACUGAUUGUCCAUGAUCCGUUAGCUUUUGCAGAAAUCGAAGAGUCGAUUUCGAUGCGUUUUUCGGCGAAAUUCGCCGAAAGAACGCGGUUUCGAUUCGAAUUUCUUCCGACGUCGUUUGGUUGCUCUGUGAGUGGUCGCUAAGCCUUGUUGGCUAGUCACCAUCAUCACUUUGUGGGUUCGGUGAUGACGGGUGAGCGACGGUGGGUUCCGGUGUCGAAUUUGACACUUCCGGGAACCCGUAUUCGUACAAUUAUCCGGCGAUAAUUGUGUCGCGGUGUUUAUCUUAUGUUUGCUGCCAAAACAUCCAAAUUGGAGUGUUUUAUGGCAGCAGGUGACUUGUAGCAUGGGUCGGUGCGUUUCGGGACAUUUCAGUGGUCCCGACGGAGUCCCGGUGCGAUUUUCGGGACUUCCGGCGAGUUACGGUAGUCAGUUUUGGGAAACUGAUCUUCGUGGGUUUGUUAGAGGGAUUAUGAUGUAGUGUUUCUUAGUUGUGGGUUAGACACUAACCCAGUGGAUCCUCCUUAGGUCCUGUUGACGUUCUUUUGCAGUCAGGUGACAGGCGCGACAGUUGUACAGGUGGGUACUUCGAUCCGACGUCGGUACAGUGGUGCACGUUCGGUGAU